UAAUUAAGAUGAGUAUGAUCCUGGCUCAGAAUGAAGGCUAUAAGUUUGCUUUAAUACAUGCGAGUCUAAUGGUUUAUUAAACAUAAACCAUGGCGUACGGGUGAGUAACAUACGAAUAUUUGCUUUCAACUUUGGAAUAAUUCUAUCCCUACAGGGGAGUAGUUUGUGUUACAGGCAGAAAAAUACCAAAUAAAUAUAUUAAAUAUAUAAAGAAGUGAGUUCGGUUGAAAAUAAUAUCGUACAGUAUUAGGUAGUUGGUAAGGGGUUGGCUUACCAAGCCCAUGAUGCUUAGUUGGUCUGGAAGGAUGAUCAACCACAUUGGGACUGAGACAAGGCCCAGGUUUCUUUGGAGGGCAGCAGUAAGGAAUAUUGGACAAUGGGCGGAAGCCUGAUCCAGCAAGACUUGGUGAAAGAUUGAAGGCUUCGGUUGUAAAUUUCUUUUCUGGUUGAAGAUUAUGACAGUAAACCAAGAAAAAGUCCCGACUAACUUCGUGCCAGCAGUCGCGGUAAUACGGAGGGGGCAAGCCUUAUUCGAAAUAACUGGGCGUAAAGGGUCCGUAGGCUGUUUUUUGUCUGUUCUUUGUUAAAAAGUUGGGCUUAACCUAAUCUCGGCAAAGAAAACAUUAAAACUAGAGUCUGGCAAAUGAAAAUGGAAUAUCUUAAUGAGGGGUAGAAUCCUUAAAAGUAAGGUGGAACAUCAUAAAGGCGAAAGCGAUUUUCUUGUGCAGUACUGACGUUGAGGGACGAAAGCAUAGGUAGCAAGCAGGAUUUGAUACCCUGGUAGUCUAUGCUGUCAACUAUGGAUGCUAAUUCUUAGGUUCUCUGGGAAAUAUACAGUUAACACUUUAAGCAUCCCGCCUGAAGAGUACGAGCGCAAGCUUAAAAAUCAAGGGAAUUGGCGGGGGUCCAAACAAGUGGUGGAGCAUGUGGUUUAAUGCGAUAAUACGCGCGUAACCUUACCAGUUCUUGUAAAUUUGCUAUUUAUAUGGAGACAUGUAAUUUUUAAAAUUUUCAGGUGUUGCAUGGCCGUCGUCAGCUCGUGUUGUGAGAUGUUAGGUUAAUUCCUUAGAACGAGCGAAACCCUUAUAUGGUUCAUGUAUAUUCUUUGAUACAGACCAAGCACUGCAAACGUUGAGUUUGAGGAAGGUGGGGAUGAGGUCAGGUCUUCAUGGCCCUUAUGGACUGGGCUACACACGUGCUACAAUGGGAAAUACAGUUAGUUGCGAUGGUGUAAACCGGAGCCAAUCUUCAAAAUUUUUCUUAGUUCGGAUUGGGGGCUGCAACUCGCCCCCAUAAAGUUGGAAUCACUAGUAAUCGCGUAUCAGGAUGCCGCGGUGAAUAUGUCACUGGGCCUUGCACACACCGCCCGUCACAUCCUGGAAGUUAAUUUUGCUUAAAGACUGUGAAUAGAUCUAAAUUAAGUAUGCUUUUUAGAAAAAGAGAUUUUUACGAGGUAUUCUAAUCUAAGAAAUAUUUCUUUUGAGGGGAGUAUAAAUAACUGGGAUGAAGUCGUAACAAGGUAGUCGUAGGGGAACCUGCGUCUGGUAAUAACGAAAU
Molecule: ribosomal RNA, 1557 nt
Filed under: Dictyota dichotoma
Lineage: Eukaryota; Phaeophyceae; Dictyotales; Dictyotaceae
Description: bacterial SSU rRNA
Rfam family: Bacterial small subunit ribosomal RNA
Source: RNAcentral